AANGAGGUNGCAACGUUGUCCCGGAUUCACUGGGCGUAAAGGGCUUGNUAGGCGGUCAUGUAAGUCAGAUGUGAAAUCGUACUGCUCAACAGUACAACUGCAUCCGAUACUGCAUGACUUGAGUGCAGAAGGGGAAAAUGGAAUUUGCGGUGUAGCGGUGAAAUGCGUAGAUAUCGCAAAGAACACCUGUGGCGAAGGCGGUUUUCUGGUCUGCAACUGACGCUGAGGAGCGAAAGCUAGGGGAGCAAACAGGAUUAGAUACCCUGGUAGUCCUAGCUGUAAACGAUGUACACUAGGUGUAGGAGAUUCAUUUCUUCUGUGCCGACGCUAACGCAUUAAGUGUACCGCCUGGGGACUACGAUCGCAAGAUUGAAACUCAAAGAAAUUGACGGGGGUCCGCACAAGUGGUGGAGCAUGUGGUUUAAUUCGACGCAACGCGAAGAACCUUACCCAGGCUUGACAUCCUACUGACCGUUUUGUGAAAGCAUAACUUUGGACCUUCGGGUUCACAGUAGGACAGGUGUUGCAUGGUUGUCGUCAGCUCGUGCCGUGAGGUGUUGGGUUAAGUCCUUUAACGAGCGCAACCCCUAUUGCUAGUUGCCAGCGAGUCAUGUCGGGAACUCUAGCGAGACUGCCCGGGAUAACCGGGAGGAAGGUGGGGAUGACGUCAAAUCAUCAUGGCCCUUAUGUCUGGGGCGACACACGUGCUACAA
RNAcentral lists this ribosomal RNA (713 nucleotides) under uncultured bacterium. RNAcentral's name for it is "bacterial SSU rRNA". It matches the Rfam family "Bacterial small subunit ribosomal RNA", at positions 525 to 1230 of the family's 1533-position model. The record is from RNAcentral.